UCCUACGGGAGGCAGCAGUAAGGAAUAUUGGACAAUGGUCGCAAGACUGAUCCAGCCAUGCCGCGUGCAGGAUGAACGAUCUAUGAUCUGUAAACUGCUUUUGUUCGGGAAUAAACCCCUUCACGUGUGGAGGGCUGAAUGUACCGAAAGAAUAAGGGUCGGCUAACUUCGUGCCAGCAGCCGCGGUAA
This 189-nucleotide ribosomal RNA is filed under the name uncultured bacterium. RNAcentral's name for it is "partial 16S ribosomal RNA". It matches the Rfam family "Bacterial small subunit ribosomal RNA", at positions 337 to 523 of the family's 1533-position model. The record is from RNAcentral.